AUCAACCUUUUAAAUCUGAUUCCAUCCAAAUAUGUCCAUAUGUUUUAUGUAUUUGGUUUUUGGGUGUAAAAGAAAUAUAGAAAGGAACGCUAACUUUUCUUGUGAACAGGAAUUCAACGUUGGUGUCGAGUUUGUGCUUCUGCUAUCGUUUGUUGAUACUGCAUCUGGACAUGCGGAAGAGGCAUUGAUUUCUUUGGAAGAACCGAUUUUUGGAUUUCCAUCAUCAAUUGUUCAAACUACUCAAGGUAUGAAUCUUAAUCUCAGCAGCAAGGUGUACACGUAUGGAGUAGUGAUCAGAUAUCGGUCGUGUGAGCUCUCUUUGCCUUAUUUAGAUUCAGAUACAUGUUGUCUUCAUUUUGCUGAGUGUCAUUAACUGUAUAACUUGUAGUUGACGCUUUUGAGAUAUUCAUGGGAAGCUAAGAAUAAUAAGAAGUAGUCAAUGUGUGGUUCAGCUUAUUUAUGUACCUGAAUCCUAAUUUCCCCAUCCACUGCGGCAUGAACUCGCAUACAAGUGCAUCCUUAUACAAGAUUACACUACAAUUUUAGUACCUUCUGUAUAGCAUAUAGAAGGUAUAUUAUACACACUGCCGAGUGCAUGCAUUGGCCUUCUAGGAUUCAUGGAGUACUUGGAGCUAACACAAGACUUGGCACAAAACCAAGCGCAGUGGUGUUGUAAGAUUCAUACAGGCGACCUCACUAAGUGGAAGAAGGUUUUGUUGUUCCUAUAUAGCAUAUUCUUAGUUUUUUUUCCUAGCAGCUUGAAUUCCGGCUAAGUUUUAAGGUCCAGACACAUUUGGGAUCAUAGUUCUUAGGUUUUUGUCUGUUUCAUUCAACCAACAUAUCUCUAACAUUAAUUCAGAAAUUACAAAACUGCAGAUAUGGAUGUCUAAGUUCGAGCAAAUCAUUCGGAAAACGCUUUCUGUGCAUUUUUCAGUUCAUCCAGUUGGCAAUGUGAUUAUGUAGAGAGGAUCCCUUGAGGGUUUUGAACAUGCAUUCUUGCUCAAUCUGUUUAAUUCAAGAACAAGUAUAUGCAAGCUGGUUUCUCCAUCUUUGUUGUUUCAACCAGUUACUCAAUCCAUCUUCUCGAGAAUCCUCAUACGGAAUCAAAUUAAUCUAAUCAGUCCAGUUCUUAGAGAUCACAAGCAAAAAUGAUAGAGUGUAAAUUGUGAUAUGAUGUGGCAGUUGUAUUUCUAGCUCAUAUUGCUAGGAUGAUUAACUAAAUUGUGUGUAUGCUUUCUUAUCAAAGUCUCAUAGGUCUUAAACAAGUGAGUGUACAUGUGUCUUCAUCUCAUAGGAUGUAAGAUGGAUGGCUAGGAUUGCUUGGAUGUAAUUUUGAAUACUGCCAAAGUUAAAAUGUAAUUGCAGUUAAGAGGAGAGAGACUAUUCCUCUCUCACUCUCAGUGGAAUGAUAAACAGUGUGUGAAAGAAGCAUUAUCAAAGUCA
This is a non-coding RNA of Malus domestica (apple), 1443 nucleotides long. The record is from RefSeq and is a predicted model, not a curated record. NCBI's taxonomy places the organism in Eukaryota, Viridiplantae, Streptophyta, Magnoliopsida, Rosales, Rosaceae.